RNAcentral lists this ribosomal RNA (497 nucleotides) under uncultured bacterium. Its description in RNAcentral is "partial 16S ribosomal RNA". It matches the Rfam family "Bacterial small subunit ribosomal RNA", at positions 28 to 507 of the family's 1533-position model. The record is from RNAcentral.
GACGAACGCUGGCGGCGUGCCUAAUACAUGCAAGUUGAGCGAUGAAGAUUGGUGCUUGCACCAAUUUGAAGAGCAGCGAACGGGUGAGUAACGCGUGGGGAAUCUGCCUUUGAGCGGGGGACAACAUUUGGAAACGAAUGCUAAUACCGCAUAACAACUUUAAACAUAAGUUUUAAGUUUGAAAGAUGCAAUUGCAUCACUCAAAGAUGAUCCCGCGUUGUAUUAGCUAGUUGGUGAGGUAAAGGCUCACCAAGGCGAUGAUACAUAGCCGACCUGAGAGGGUGAUCGGCCACAGUGGGACUGAGACACGGCCCAAACUCCUACGGGAGGCAGCAGUAGGGAAUCUUCGGCAAUGGACGAAAGUCUGACCGGGCAACGCCGCGUGAGUGAAGAAGGGUUUCGGAUCGUAAAACUCUGUUGGUAGAGAAGAACGUUGGUGAGAGUGGAAAGCUCAUCAAGUGACGGUAACUACCCAGAAAGGGACGGCUAACUACGUG